UCCGCCGUCGUUCAAUGCUAGGACGCAACUUUGGUAAAGUUGCAAUCGAGGUUGGAUUCCUCGCGGUGGAACCA
This 74-nucleotide transfer RNA is filed under the name Patescibacteria group bacterium. Its description in RNAcentral is "tRNA-Thr". It matches the Rfam family "tRNA". From Rfam's summary of the family: Transfer RNA (tRNA) molecules are approximately 80 nucleotides in length. Their secondary structure includes four short double-helical elements and three loops (D, anti-codon, and T loops). The record is from RNAcentral.